This 962-nucleotide long non-coding RNA is filed under the name Oryctolagus cuniculus (rabbit). RNAcentral's name for it is "lncRNA (ENSOCUG00000038495.1)". The record is from RNAcentral. Lineage: Eukaryota; Metazoa; Chordata; Mammalia; Lagomorpha; Leporidae.
CGCGGUCCGCUGCCGUAAGUCGGGUCCGGGCGUGGAGAGCCCAGUCCGGGCCGGGGCAGCUGCUCGGGUCCAGGGCGGGGAGGGGCCGUGGGGGAAGGGGCGGCGGGGUGGGGCGGGGCCGGGACGCCGCGGCCCGCCCCGGGGAAACCCGGCGCUCUCCCACCGGGCUCCGGCCACAUUGUUACCCUCUGCGCGGCCCAGGCGGGGCCGGUCCGGGACGGCCCGAGCUCCCGGUUCGCGGGGCCUCCCCCGCAGAGAGCGUCUCCGGCGAAUGAAGUUCCCAUCCUUAGGCAGGUCCGUGUUUCACCCUCGGACAGCCCCACACACCUCUCUCUCUUCGGCUGUAGCUGACGCCGUAUCCAGUGGUUGCUGUUGGGACGCCCCCAGCUGGAGCACAGAGCCUGAGAGCCCAGGAGUCCAGAGGCUGCAGGCAGAGAGCGCAGAGCCCAGCUGGCGAAGCGGCCAAGGUCAGACCACAGGCGGCCAGCGGGGCCCUGGCAGGACGCUGGGCCUCCCCGGAAGCGAGGAGAACGGUGCCAUCGGGUAUGUCGUUAGGGAGCUCCCUGGCUUCAAGGAGGUGGGGGUUGGUGGCAGAGAACUGAACUAAGAGGUGAGAUUUCGCUGGACCUCAAGGUCAAAGCCCAGAGGCGUCUUGAGAUGCCCUGAAGGUGCAGAGAGGCCACUAGGAGGCCAGGAGAGACAGCCUGGGCUGGGGGGCGGCCAGUGUCAGGCCCUGCUGCCCAGCCUCCCCCGACCCUGGACCAGCAGGGGACGAGCUGGGAGCAGAGGCAGCCGGCCCACCGCGGUGCAAAGUCGAAGGCAGAUGAGGCUGUCCAGGGUCCCCACGAGAGCCGCCGUUGCGCUGUUGCUGCUGGUGGUCUCAGAAGGGAGAGGCGUGCUCGUGCCGAAGGCUGCUAUGCAGGGGUCAGGAGAGAGGCCGAGGGCGGGUGACCGUGGCGAAG